CGUGUAGGCGGUUUUUUAAGUCUGAUGUGAAAGCCCUGGGCUCAACCUGGGAAGUGCAUUGGAUACUGGAAGACUUGAGUACGGGAGAGGGUAGUGGAAUUCCGAGUGUAGGAGUGAAAUCCGUAGAUAUUCGGAGGAACACCGGUGGCGAAGGCGGCUACCUGGACCGAUACUGACGCUGAGACGCGAAAGCGUGGGGAGCAAACA
Molecule: ribosomal RNA, 207 nt
Filed under: uncultured delta proteobacterium
Lineage: Bacteria; Deltaproteobacteria
Description: partial 16S ribosomal RNA
Rfam family: Bacterial small subunit ribosomal RNA
Source: RNAcentral